GGCUUGUUUGGUACCCAAGAAUGACUCGCCUGCAUUUCUCCCUUAAGACUUAUGGUCCCAUCUGCCACAGAUAUUAAUCGGGAAAAAAAUGUGGCAAGUGCAUAUAAUUCCGUGAGUUUUGCAGGCAUUCAUCUUGGCUAACUCCACAGGCUCC
Molecule: microRNA precursor, 154 nt
Filed under: Olea europaea subsp. europaea
Lineage: Eukaryota; Viridiplantae; Streptophyta; Magnoliopsida; Lamiales; Oleaceae
Source: RNAcentral